Long non-coding RNA from Dama dama (fallow deer), 318 nucleotides. RefSeq lists it as uncharacterized. NCBI's taxonomy places the organism in Eukaryota, Metazoa, Chordata, Mammalia, Artiodactyla, Cervidae. The record is from RefSeq and is a predicted model, not a curated record. The transcript is spliced from 4 exons.
CCUGUGUAACCAUGGAACCUGGAGGUCAAGGAGAACAGGUCCACAGAGGCUCAACUUCCAGGUCAGGUCCUUCUGCUUUGGGGAACUGGAUGCAUCCCCAUGACCUUCCUAUCCCUAGAGCCGCUGGGGAGCUCAAGGCUGCUGCCCACAGUUUCUGUACUUCAGAGCGAGCAGAAAAGCUGCCUCUAGGUAUUUUGGAAUAAUGUAGACAGCUGAAGAGGUUCAUCUCCAAGAGAGAAUACAUAACCAUCAUGAGAUCAAGAAACUGAGUCACAAAGAAAGAUUUGAUGGCAGUCUGCCUGACUCCAAAUCCUGGGC